This 468-nucleotide ribosomal RNA is filed under the name uncultured bacterium. RNAcentral describes it as "partial 16S ribosomal RNA". It matches the Rfam family "Bacterial small subunit ribosomal RNA", at positions 28 to 507 of the family's 1533-position model. The record is from RNAcentral.
GACGAACGCUGGCGGCGUGCUUAACACAUGCAAGUCGAACGGAAAGGCCCUGCUUUUGUGGGGUGCUCGAGUGGCGAACGGGUGAGUAACACGUGAGUAACCUGCCCUUGACUUUGGGAUAAGUUCAGGAAACUGGGGGUAAUACCGGAUAGGAGCUCCUGCUGCAUGGUGGGGGUUGGAAAGUUUCGGCGGUUGGGGAUGGACUCGCGGCUUAUCAGCUUGUUGGUGGGGUAGUGGCUUACCAAGGCUUUGACGGGUAGCCGGCCUGAGAGGGUGACCGGCCACAUUGGGACUGAGAUACGGCCCAGACUCCUACGGGAGGCAGCAGUGGGGAAUAUUGCACAAUGGGCGGAAGCCUGAUGCAGCAACGCCGCGUGCGGGAUGACGGCCUUCGGGUUGUAAACCGCUUUCGCCUGUGACGAAGCGUGAGUGACGGUAAUGGGUAAAGAAGCACCGGCUAACUACGUG